This 1231-nucleotide long non-coding RNA is filed under the name Struthio camelus australis. RNAcentral's name for it is "lncRNA (ENSSCUG00000011073.1)". The record is from RNAcentral. Lineage: Eukaryota; Metazoa; Chordata; Aves; Struthioniformes; Struthionidae.
AUGAAUGUCUCUCAGAUGGUUCAAGAGCCUCAGAAGUUCUUUUUGUGGAAUAUGAAAUAUUUUCUAAUUCUGUUUUCAACUGUCACAAGUUUAUCCACAUCCUUUUUGCAUUACAGAUACCAGACUUGGAGACAGCAUUUCAGUUACCUCUCCACUGUCAGCCUUGAAAGUGGUGCCAUCGCUCUCUUCCAGCACGAUAUUCCAAUACUGGAAGCUUUGGGAGCUGAUUAAGGAGAGCCCAGGCAUCUCUCUUAAAUGGAGAUAGGAGAAGGGAUGAGAAGUUUUGCAAACCCUUGGAUAAAGAAUAUGUAAAUGUCAUUGUCUUUAAUAGAGACAUCAUUUAUCCGACUUUAAAUGCACAGAACAUUGGAAAAAUAUGACUUUUACCUUCAUUUGCACUUUCCUACGGAUUAUAUUAGCGAUUAGAAAGCUUAGAAAUAUUUUGUUCCAUUGCUGUACUAAGGACUUGUUCUCAUUCACUCUUAAAAAUUCCUCUGUAAUUCUACUUCUCCAAAGGAUGGGCAGUCUGGGGAGACCCCUUUAUGUGGCUGUGACACUUGUGUCUUCAUUCUAAGUGCCUGGUGAUUCCCCCCAAAAAAUCCUUAAAUUCCCUACAUAGUCAUAAGUUAGGUGCUUUUGAAGAUCCCCAGGGGGAGAUCCAGUCCAUCUAAGAUGGAUUUUAAAAUUCAUCAAUGUCACUAAUUAAGUGCUUAAAUUUAGUGAAUUGGAGCUCUUUCUGGGCAUCUUCAAGAGCAUAUUCUUCCCUCUAUUGCUGAUUCACUUACUUAAGGAAGCAUGAUCCAGCAGAUACUUAAACAUUAGGCAUAACCAAACCCUGCGAAAUGAAAACAAGGCAGAAUUCUUCUCAUACUGUACAUCUGCGUUAUUCUUGUAUCUAUAGAGAGCAUGUCAAAUCAUAUUUAUGGCAUACUUCUGACCAUAUUCUCACAGCUUUUGCAUCAGUUCUAAGAUCUCCUUGGCUUUUCAAACAUCUCUUAUAAUUAUUUCAGUUUAUGCAAAAUUUCAUUCUUCUCAGGCCACAAGACCAGAUCAGGCAACAGGGAGUCCUUGAAUGCUGGGAGGUGUAAGUCUUUCUCAUGUGCAUCAGAGAGAAAACUCUAGGAACAGCAUACAAGAGCAGGAAGGAAUGAAAGAAAAUACUUGAUGGCACAGUAUUUAAUAAUAGCCACGCAGCAAGAUUUUCUAGUGAUACAUUAUUUCAGGGUAACCA